ACAACUUCAGCAACGGAUCUCUUGGCUCUCGCAUCGAUGAAGAACGCAGCGAAAUGCGAUAAGUAAUGUGAAUUGCAGAAUUCAGUGAAUCAUCGAAUCUUUGAACGCACCUUGCGCUCCUUGGUAUUCCGAGGAGCAUGCCUGUUUGAGUGUCAUUAA
RNAcentral lists this ribosomal RNA (159 nucleotides) under Morganella fuliginea. RNAcentral's name for it is "5.8S ribosomal RNA". It matches the Rfam family "5.8S ribosomal RNA". From Rfam's summary of the family: 5.8S ribosomal RNA (5.8S rRNA) is a component of the large subunit of the eukaryotic ribosome. It is transcribed by RNA polymerase I as part of the 45S precursor that also contains 18S and 28S rRNA. The record is from RNAcentral. Lineage: Eukaryota; Fungi; Basidiomycota; Agaricomycetes; Agaricales; Lycoperdaceae. RNAcentral also lists the same sequence under 1 other name.